Molecule: non-coding RNA, 250 nt
Organism: Camellia sinensis
Lineage: Eukaryota; Viridiplantae; Streptophyta; Magnoliopsida; Ericales; Theaceae
Source: RefSeq, a predicted model, not a curated record
AUAUGUCAUAUCAUAAAACGUUUCUCAUAUUUUUUUAAGAAUAUUUUUGGAAUUCUGGUAUUAACAAGUGUAUAAAUGUGUUACAUGUGGAAAACACAUUUUCUCUCUGCAUUGGCUUGCACUAGUUAGCCUUAUCCAUAUUUAGACGAUCUGAUUAAGGAGGAGAAGGAGGUGUUUACACCCAGUAAGCUGUAGGUUAAGGGACCUAUAUAUGGGCAUGGCUUGAGAUGAAACUCGUGGCCAAUAUAAA